Molecule: ribosomal RNA, 253 nt
Filed under: uncultured bacterium
Lineage: Bacteria
Description: partial 16S ribosomal RNA
Rfam family: Bacterial small subunit ribosomal RNA
Source: RNAcentral
CACAGAGGGUGCAAACGUUGCUCGGAAUCAUUGGGCGUAAAGCGCGUGUAGGCGGCACGACAAGUCAGCUGUGAAAGCCCCCGGCUCAACCGAGGAAGUGCAGCUGAAACUGUCGCGCUAGAGUGCUGAAGAGGGUGGCGGAAUGCGCAGUGUAGAGGUGAAAUUCGUAGAUAUUGCGUAGAACACCAGUGGCGAAGGCGGCCACCUGGGAAGCUACUGACGCUAAGACGCGAAAGCAUGGGGAGCAAACAGG